Non-coding RNA from Phrynosoma platyrhinos (Desert horned lizard), 72 nucleotides. Lineage: Eukaryota; Metazoa; Chordata; Lepidosauria; Squamata; Phrynosomatidae. The record is from the annotation of a GenBank genome assembly.
GCCAGCAUGGCAUAGUGGUUUGAGUGUUGGACUAUGACUCUGAAGAUCAGGUUUCGAUUCCUGGCUCAGCCA